CUUUUCCACUAGUGGUAGAGUAAUGCCGCGGCAAGACAGAAGUCAUCGGUUCGAAUCCGGUAGAG
Molecule: transfer RNA, 65 nt
Filed under: Enneapogon oblongus
Lineage: Eukaryota; Viridiplantae; Streptophyta; Magnoliopsida; Poales; Poaceae
Description: tRNA-Thr
Source: RNAcentral